Molecule: small RNA, 322 nt
Filed under: Histoplasma capsulatum
Lineage: Eukaryota; Fungi; Ascomycota; Eurotiomycetes; Onygenales; Ajellomycetaceae
Also listed under: 1 other name
Description: hypothetical RNA
Source: RNAcentral
AGGUCUCAAUAAGCUCUUCAAUUAAUAUGCAAAGCAGGAUGGAGGUUGCCGAACUCCAUCGGGAGGCGCAAAUAAGAGUUUUGAACAUUUUAUUAUAUUUUAUUUGAUUUGGUUGAAGUUGAAUUAUUUCUCACAACUUGAGAGUUAUGUGACCGCGUUCGCUGGCAAUUACCAGGACUAGUAUUACUUUUACGCGGAAAUAUGACCGUGUUCAAACCCCAACCCCACCCUCACAAAGGAAGCCAGAAUAGGGGCGAAAGAGAGCUACGAGGUUAAAACUCGCUGCAUAUGCUAGGUAUGGAGUAUUGGGGAUAGGUCGCAG